GACGUAGGUGGCGAACGUUAUCCGGAAUCACUGGGUUUAAAGGGUGCGUAGGCGGUCUGAUAAGUCAGUUGUGAAAUUCCUCGGCUUAACCGAGUGGACUGCGAUUGAUACUGUCAGACUUGAAUCAGGUUGAGGUAGGCGGAAUGUGACAUGUAGCGGUGAAAUGCUUAGAUAUGUCAUAGAACACCGAUUGCGAAGGCAGCUUGCUGGGCUUAGAUUGACGCUGAGGCACGAAAGCGUGGGGAGCAAACAGG
Molecule: ribosomal RNA, 254 nt
Filed under: uncultured bacterium
Lineage: Bacteria
Description: partial 16S ribosomal RNA
Rfam family: Bacterial small subunit ribosomal RNA
Source: RNAcentral